RNAcentral lists this ribosomal RNA (233 nucleotides) under uncultured bacterium. Its description in RNAcentral is "partial 16S ribosomal RNA". It matches the Rfam family "Bacterial small subunit ribosomal RNA", at positions 100 to 334 of the family's 1533-position model. The record is from RNAcentral.
CGGGACGGGUGAGUAAUGUCUGGGAAACUGCCUGAGUGAGGGGGAUAACUACUGGAAACGGUAGCUAAUACCGCAUAACGUCGCAAGACCAAAGGGGGGGACCUUCGGGCCUCUUGCCAUCGGAUGUGCCCAGAUGGGAUUAGCUAGUAGGUGGGGUAACGGCUCACCUAGGCGACGAUCCCUAGCUGGUCUGAGAGGAUGGCCAGCCACACUGGAACUGAGACACGGUCCAG